UUAUCGCAUGAAACACAAGAAGGUGGGUGUUCCCCUUGAUAAGGAUGAAAGAGGCCCUAGUGGACCGUACAGCAUGUAUGCGGUGAAAGCAUGGCAUCUAACCAUGUUUUUGA
RNAcentral lists this non-coding RNA (113 nucleotides) under Chrysolophus pictus (golden pheasant). The record is from RNAcentral. Lineage: Eukaryota; Metazoa; Chordata; Aves; Galliformes; Phasianidae.